RNAcentral lists this ribosomal RNA (524 nucleotides) under Mycobacterium piscinum. Its description in RNAcentral is "bacterial SSU rRNA". It matches the Rfam family "Bacterial small subunit ribosomal RNA", at positions 64 to 601 of the family's 1533-position model. Lineage: Bacteria; Bacillati; Actinomycetota; Actinomycetes; Mycobacteriales; Mycobacteriaceae. The record is from RNAcentral.
GAACGGAAAGGCCCUUUCGGGGGUACUCAAGUGGCGAACGGGUGAGUAACACGUGGGUGAUCUGCCCUGCACUUUGGGAUAAGCCUGGGAAACUGGGUCUAAUACCGAAUACACCCUGCUGGUCGCAUGGCCUGGUAGGGGAAAGCUUUUGCGGUGUGGGAUGGGCCCGCGGCCUAUCAGCUUGUUGGUGGGGUGAUGGCCUACCAAGGCGACGACGGGUAGCCGGCCUGAGAGGGUGACCGGCCACACUGGGACUGAGAUACGGCCCAGACUCCUACGGGAGGCAGCAGUGGGGAAUAUUGCACAAUGGGCGCAAGCCUGAUGCAGCGACGCCGCGUGAGGGAUGACGGCCUUCGGGUUGUAAACCUCUUUCAGCACAGACGAAGCGCAAGUGACGGUAUGUGCAGAAGAAGGACCGGCCAACUACGUGCCAGCAGCCGCGGUAAUACGUAGGGUCCGAGCGUUGUCCGGAAUUACUGGGCGUAAAGAGCUCGUAGGUGGUUUGUCGCGUUGUUCGUGAAAUC